RNAcentral lists this ribosomal RNA (471 nucleotides) under Triticum aestivum (bread wheat). Its description in RNAcentral is "partial small subunit ribosomal RNA". The record is from RNAcentral. Lineage: Eukaryota; Viridiplantae; Streptophyta; Magnoliopsida; Poales; Poaceae.
AUGCUUGCCGCGAAUGACGCAUCUCACGCGCGCCGCCACGCAUUCCAUCUCCGCCACAGCCCGACGACACCAACGGUGGCUCCCCUUCUCUUCUCGCGCCGAGGGGAGGUCUUACCCGCUCCGCAACCAGAUCAAGCACCUUCUUCUUGGGAGGUGCGCCUCCACUUCGCCUCUCUCUGGCCACGGAGCGCCUCCCUCUCACCACCAUGGCGACGGAUCUGCCUCCCUGAGCCACGGGUCCACCACCAUGGAUACGGACACACCAUGAUGGCGCCACGGGGAUCCACCACGAUGGCAUGGCGACGGAUCCACGGAUCCCUGCGCCAGAUCCAAAACCAACGGAGACGGAGGGACACACAAGCGCCAGACCUCGGCCUCCUCCAAGGUAGACCCAUCUCCGCCAUGGCGACCAACUGCAGCACAGCUGCCCAUCCAUUGGUGUUGCUGCUCUCCUCUGAUUUGUCGCCAUGA